UAGGGAAUCUUCGGCAAUGGACGAAAGUCUGACCGAGCAACGCCGCGUGAGUGAAGAAGGUUUUCGGAUCGUAAAACUCUGUUGUUAGAGAAGAACAAGGACGUUAGUAACUGAACGUCCCCUGACGGUAUCUAACCAGAAAGCCACGGCUAACUACGUGCCAGCAGCCGCGGUAAUACGUAGGUGGCAAGCGUUGUCAGGAUUUAUUGGGCGUAAAGCGAGCGCAGGCGGUUUCUUAAGUCUGAUGUGAAAGCCCCCGGCUCAACCGGGGAGGGUCAUUGGAAACUGGGAGACUUGAGUGCAGAAGAGGAGAGUGGAAUUCCAUGUGUAGCGGUGAAAUGCGUAGAUAUAUGGAGGAACACCAGUGGCGAAGGCGGCUCUCUGGUCUGUAACUGACGCUGAGGCUCGAAAGCGUGGGGAGCAAACA
This 427-nucleotide ribosomal RNA is filed under the name uncultured bacterium. Its description in RNAcentral is "partial 16S ribosomal RNA". It matches the Rfam family "Bacterial small subunit ribosomal RNA", at positions 355 to 774 of the family's 1533-position model. The record is from RNAcentral.